Non-coding RNA from Oryza sativa Japonica Group (Japanese rice), 737 nucleotides. The record is from RefSeq and is a predicted model, not a curated record. Lineage: Eukaryota; Viridiplantae; Streptophyta; Magnoliopsida; Poales; Poaceae.
AUGUUCUGUUUACAUUAUUCAAGAACCAUGCGUAGCCAUGGGAGUGCAAUUUGGAUCUUUAUUCAUGAUCCUUGAGAAGCGCUGAUCACGCUUGCUUGGCUUACCGGUAAUGCUAAGAGGAUAUUCACACCUGCCCGGGAGGGAACUACUAUCUUUUGACUUCUUUGGUUUAAAAAUAAAGUACCUAAUGACAUCGAUCGGCAUGGGGCGGGAGUAGCACCCUUGGACUACACAUUAUUAUUGCACACAAUUGAAAUUAGUUUUAGACUAUAAUUUUUGCUCAGCAUAAGUUUUGCAUAGAACUUGUAAAGGUCAUUUAAGGUUCUGAUCCUUAUUUUUCACGUGGGAUUUGUGGAGCUAGGAUGGUUUGGAUUGUGUGGUUUAUAUCGGUAUUGACCUUUCUUAUAACUGCCUGUCGUGAUGUCCGUAUUUUUAGGGGAGACUCUACCAAAAUUUCUAAUAAUUUUAGGACUUAGUUUUUGAGUGUAUUUUGGUGUGGCAUUUUAGGUACGUGGUUACCUGGGGUGUUACAUCUUAUGUGAGUUUGGUUCGUGGCUUUAGGCUACCUACCUCAUGUAUAAAUAGAGAGGGAGCGUGAGGCCUCCCGGUAUCGCUUUUGAGAGUAUUGAGUUGUAAGUUUAGUUAGGGUUUCGAGUUUAGUCGAGAUUUUCAUGAGGAGUGCUAUUGUUGAACUUUUUAAACAGAUACUUGGAUUACCAAAUUUGGUCAUUAACAAA